RNAcentral lists this non-coding RNA (51 nucleotides) under Trypanosoma brucei brucei. The record is from RNAcentral. Lineage: Eukaryota; Euglenozoa; Kinetoplastea; Trypanosomatida; Trypanosomatidae.
AGUGAUUAAUAUAGAUAGAUGAUGGUAGAGAGAUAUAGUAUGUAUAGAGAU